Molecule: transfer RNA, 77 nt
Filed under: Ehrlichia sp. JZT12
Lineage: Bacteria; Pseudomonadati; Pseudomonadota; Alphaproteobacteria; Rickettsiales; Anaplasmataceae
Description: tRNA-Pro
Rfam family: tRNA
About the family: Transfer RNA (tRNA) molecules are approximately 80 nucleotides in length.
Source: RNAcentral
CGGAGUGUGGCGCAGCUUGGUAGCGCACUUGGUUUGGGACCAAGGGGUCGGGAGUUCAAAUCUCUCCACUCCGACCA